GGUGCUGUGGCUCAGUGGGUUAAAGCCCUGGUCUGCAGUGCUGGCAUCCUGUACGGGCUCUGGUUCAAGUCCUGGCUGCUCCA
RNAcentral lists this transfer RNA (83 nucleotides) under Oryctolagus cuniculus (rabbit). It matches the Rfam family "tRNA". Rfam says of the family: Transfer RNA (tRNA) molecules are approximately 80 nucleotides in length. The record is from Rfam by way of RNAcentral. Lineage: Eukaryota; Metazoa; Chordata; Mammalia; Lagomorpha; Leporidae.